RNAcentral lists this long non-coding RNA (1845 nucleotides) under Malus domestica (apple). RNAcentral describes it as "long non-coding RNA (MDOM_LNC003840)". Lineage: Eukaryota; Viridiplantae; Streptophyta; Magnoliopsida; Rosales; Rosaceae. The record is from RNAcentral.
UUUAAGGGCAAAUAUUGUAAUUUUGUAAAACAUGUGGGGGUAUACCUGUCAUUUGAAAAGUUUAUUAAAUGAGCAUUGAUUACAAUGCUUUGAAAAAAAAAACAUUUUUUUAGAAGGAUGGUAGACUCUACUUUUGCUUUUCCAUGUUUCUCUAUUUUCAUUGGCAACAAUUUUUUAAAAGACACUUUUUUUUGUUUUACCUGUGACGACCCGUCCUUAAUUUUUCAUGUAAUUUCCUUCCCGGUUGUGUAAAAUGACAAUUAUGCCUUUGUUUGGCAUAGUGAAACCUGAUGUGUACAUUGUUAUUUCACCCUUUAAUUUAGUUUUUCUAUUAUCGUAAUUAAAUAGUACUCGUUAUUACGGACGCGUGAGCGCGAACUGGAUCCGAAUCAGAUUUGUAACGAAGAAAUUACGCUUAGUUAAAGUGCGCUAGCAACGGGUAAAAUUGUACACAUGUGUGAUAAUUAUUUAGUGUUGGGAACACUGUUUUUUGAUAAGGUGAGAUAGAUUUUGUGUACUUUAAAAUUGUGCAAAAUCUGAUUCCCUCUCUUUAAAAACUGGUGAUAACUCAUAUAUUUCAUGCAUUUAUAUCAUCCAUUUUCUAGCCUCUUUGUGAUGUUUUUGAGUUAAACUGGUUGCAUGCUACCUUAUUUUGUGUUAGUGUGCAGUUACAUGUACUUUAGGAUCAAUUUGAAGGCAAAAGAAGUGAAAACAUACCAUUUUUGGGGUUGACCCUUAUUCAAACGUGAAAAGAAGUUUACUGGCCUGUUUUGAAGCCCAAAUAAAGAAUCCAAGACGAAUCUGGCUUGUUAGAAGACCAGGAGAAGAAUGGGAAAGGAAUUGGAAUAUCUAACCUGAUUUGGAGGAGCCAAAUAAGGAAAAACGUUCAAAACUUUGGCUUAAUGGUUGGGAUCACCUUGCAAUCAGCUACAGCCCCAUUUAGCCUAUAAAUACUAGGGUUUCAGAUCACUUUUUCACAAGCCCCCUUGGGGGUCGCCCAGAGCUCUCUCUUUUCUCUUUCUUUGGCCUUUCUUCCAGAAACAAAAUCCUUUUUCCCUUUGCCAUCAGCUGCCACCGAGGAAACCAUGCAGCCGCGCUGUUCUUGAAGGAUUUCCACUUUAUAAUUGCUUCAAGGGGGUUUCUUCUAUGAAUUUAAUUUCACUCAUGUUGUUCUUGAUAUUUAUAUAUUCUGUAAUCAUGUUGUGUAAUUAAGUUCAUAGCUGGGGAUUUCGAUGUAGCCUUGCAAAACUAUUCUAUGUUAUUAAGUUAAAGUAUUCAAAUUACCAAUCUGUUUUCUUGUUUCAUUCGCUGAUUUUGUAGUUUAAUUUGUUUGUUUAUCUUAAUGUUUGAUCACCAUUAGGGUUGCUUAUGAAUUAUUUAAUCAAGGUUAUAGUACACAUCAUGAUUAAUCUUGGUAGACAUGUGAAUGCAUGAAGAAACUGCUAUGCAUACAUCCAGCCAUGUGAUUUCUUUGGUUCUUUGAAGUUUUCUUGUUCUUAAUGGAUUCUUAUUUGGUAAUAUAAGUUGAACAUCACAACUAGGUUGCAGAUUAGGAGUACUUGAUCACAACCACAUAUCAAAUGGAUGAUCAUAAAUGAGUAAAACGAACCCUAGUUGUGAUGCGAAAUAUAUAAGCACACAAAUUAAACCCUCUUUUUAUCAAUUGUAGUAAAGUAUGUAAGUAGGGAUUGUUCUAGGCCGGGGAUUAGGAGGGAUUGCUAAAUCACUUGGAAACUGACUUGAAAACGUAAAAACAAAGUUUAAAACACUAACUAGACUCAAAGAAUGCAAAACUAUACUUUAAAACACUAAAGCAAACCAAAAGACUCAAAACAGCCCCUAAAC